This 359-nucleotide long non-coding RNA is filed under the name Ursus maritimus (polar bear). RNAcentral describes it as "lncRNA (ENSUMAG00000025479.1)". Lineage: Eukaryota; Metazoa; Chordata; Mammalia; Carnivora; Ursidae. The record is from RNAcentral.
AGAAAGAGUCACGGAGACCAAGAGUUUGGCUCCUUAGCUGCUACUCUGGGUGGGAAUUACAAAUAUCUGGACAUUCUUGCCAGGGUCUAAAAUUCCGGCACUCAAGACAAGGCACGAGAGCUUGCGGCUCCAGUUUUCCCCAAGGCUAAUGGUGAAGUUCAUCUAUUUCGGGAAUGCUUCAGCAAUGCUAUUACUAAUUGUUUUGCAGCAAAUAUCUGGAUUUCUGCUCUAAGCAGUUUUGUUUGGCUUUUCUAUUUGUUUGGGUUGUUUGGGGCUUUUUUUUUUUAACUCCCUCAAAGUUUUAUCUACACAAAUUCAUUUGAAAUAAACCUUUCCAGAUAAAAAUUGGCUUUAUGUCA